AAUAAGAGAUAACGCAGCUAUAAUGCAGUCGAACGCUUCUUUCCUCCCGAGUGCUUGCACUCAAUUGGAAAGAGGAGUGGCGGACGGGUGAGUAACACGUGGGUAACCUACCCAUCAGAGGGGGAUAACACUUGGAAACAGGUGCUAAUACCGCAUAACAGUUUAUGCCGCAUGGCAUAAGAGUGAAAGGCGCUUUCGGGUGUCGCUGAUGGAUGGACCCGCGGUGCAUUAGCUAGUUGGUGAGGUAACGGCUCACCAAGGCCACGAUGCAUAGCCGACCUGAGAGGGUGAUCGGCCACACUGGGACUGAGACACGGCCCAGACUCCUACGGGAGGCAGCAGUAGGGAAUCUUCGGCAAUGGACGAAAGUCUGACCGAGCAACGCCGCGUGAGUGAAGAAGGUUUUCGGAUCGUAAAACUCUGUUGUUAGAGAAGAACAAGGACGUUAGUAACUGAACGUCCCCUGACGGUAUCUAACCAGAAAGCCACGGCUAACUACGUGCCAGCAGCCGCGGUAAUACGUAGGUGGCAAGCGUUGUCCGGAUUUAUUGGGCGUAAAGCGAGCGCAGGCGGUUUCUUAAGUCUGAUGUGAAAGCCCCCGGCUCAACCGGGGAGGGUCAUUGGAAACUGGGAGACUUGAGUGCAGAAGAGGAGAGUGGAAUUCCAUGUGUAGCGGUGAAAUGCGUAGAUAUAUGGAGGAACACCAGUGGCGAAGGCGGCUCUCUGGUCUGUAACUGACGCUGAGGCUCGAAAGCGUGGGGAGCAAACAGGAUUAGAUACCCUGGUAGUCCACGCCGUAACGAUGAGUGCUAAAGUGUUGGAGGGUUUCCCGCCCCUUCAGUGCUGCACAAAACGCAUUAAGCACUCCCGCCUGGGGGAGUACGACCGCAAGGUUUAAACUCAAAGGAAUUGACGGGGGCCCUCCACAACCCGAGGAACCAUGUGGUUUAAUUUCCAACUCACCCCAAAGAACCUUACCAGGUCUUGAUAUCCUUUGACCGCGUCUAGAAAUAAAACUUUCCCCUUUCGGAAACAUAUG
Molecule: ribosomal RNA, 1039 nt
Filed under: Enterococcus faecalis
Lineage: Bacteria; Bacillati; Bacillota; Bacilli; Lactobacillales; Enterococcaceae
Description: bacterial SSU rRNA
Rfam family: Bacterial small subunit ribosomal RNA
Source: RNAcentral